RNAcentral lists this ribosomal RNA (438 nucleotides) under Triticum aestivum (bread wheat). Its description in RNAcentral is "partial small subunit ribosomal RNA". The record is from RNAcentral. Lineage: Eukaryota; Viridiplantae; Streptophyta; Magnoliopsida; Poales; Poaceae.
AUGGCGGAAGCUUUGGCCCUCAAAUUUGGACUAACACUAGCGCAAAGGGCAGGGUGCAAUCGCCUAAUCAUCAACUCAAAUAAUCUAGAGGUGAUUGAGACCAUGCAGGAUGGAGGACAGUCAACAGGUGCGGCAGCGGUAAUUUUCGAUGACUGCUUCCACUACGCAUGUGAUUUUAUCAUGACUAGAUUCGAACAUUGUAAUAGAGAGGCAAAUAGAGUAGCACUUGAACUUGCUAGAUUAGCUAGAUUUUCUUCAACUUCAGAUUGGUUCGAGGAGCCUAUCAAUGAAAUUGUACUCAUCCUCACAAACGUGUAUUGGUCAUUUCUUUUUAUUUUUUUGAGUAACAUGUAUUGGUUAUUUCUAAUGAAUAAAAUUUCAUUUUAUUUCAAAAAAAAACAUGACGUGCUGUGUUUUUCUCCCACCGGUUUUGAGUAG